Long non-coding RNA from Astatotilapia calliptera (eastern happy), 996 nucleotides. Lineage: Eukaryota; Metazoa; Chordata; Actinopteri; Cichliformes; Cichlidae. The record is from Ensembl.
GGGACAAAUAAGUAAAUACUUCAGCCUACUCCUUUUCAAACAAAUAAUGGAAUGAUAUUUUGUAAUGAUUGUGAAGGCACAUGUUUGAAAUGUUUGAAAUAAAAAUGAACUGAACUGAACUAAUUUAGCCUAAUCUUUGCCAAUUUUAAACCCAUGUGGAAACUGGAUGUCGUAGUUGUGCAGAAACAAACGGAGCUCACAAACUUUUGCCUACAACUAUGUGUUCAAGAAGCUCAUCUAUCAGACUCAGAAUAAGAAACUCAAACAACAUUUAGUAGCACAUUAGGAUGGUGUUUGCAGAGGCUGUCCCAAGUUUUAUUGUUUUAUUACAUUUCUCUCCCUCGCUUCUUCUGUCCUCUUUCCUUUUGUUCUUUCUUCAGCCCCUCUCAUUUGUCUCCUGCUUACAGAGCAUACUGAACUCGUGCUUUUUUCUCUCUUUUUUCUCCAUAUAACAGGAUUAUACAGUAUAGUUUAAUCAACUGAUGUUUUUUUCUUUUUGCUCAGCCAAACAGGAUUAUAGAUUCCAUAGCAGAUUCAUCUGCAGCUUCUGAUGCAUCUGCUUUAGCCAAAGGCAGUUCUUGAUGCUGAGCUGUCCCAGCAGGCAGUGCUGGUGGUUACCAACUGUUGAGAUUCAAAUUUGUGAUGCUUGUUGGAGCCAAAUCCAUCCCAUGAUAAGCAAGUUGUGCAAGACGUCAGUUUCAAGGGGCUAUGACACCAACAGAGUAAAUUCACAGACUCCGCCCCCAGCACGGCUCCAAUCGAAGCUGAAGUGAAGCCGUUUCAGAACAUUUUGCUCUACAUAUUUGAGUUGUUUGCCAUGCUUGGAUAUGCUUGUGAAGAUGGAAUAUGGGGGAGAGCAGAAGUGCGCUGAAGUUCCACAAAGGGAUGAAUGAAGGACAUGCAUAUUGUAUUGAAGAAAUAAGUGAUGAGAAUGCUGUUAUUUGCAUUUACCAUGUCAGACCUUUUGAUAAGCAAAAUUCUAAUGAAAGUGAGAAC